GAUGAACGCUGGCGGCGUGCCUAAUACAUGCAAGUCGAGCGAACAGAUAAGGAGCUUGCUCCUUUGACGUUAGCGGCGGACGGGUGAGUAACACGUGGGUAACCUACCUAUAAGACUGGGAUAACUUCGGGAAACCGGAGCUAAUACCGGAUAAUAUUUCGAACCGCAUGGUUCGAUAGUGAAAGAUGGUUUUGCUAUCACUUAUAGAUGGACCCGCGCCAUAUUAGCUAGUUGGUAAGGUAACGGCUUACCAAGGCGACGAUACGUAGCCGACCUGAGAGGGUGAUCGGCCACACUGGAACUGAGACACGGUCCAGACUCCUACGGGAGGCAGCAGUAGGGAAUCUUCCGCAAUGGGCGAAAGCCUGACGGAGCAACGCCGCGUGAGUGAUGAAGGUCUUCGGAUCGUAAAACUCUGUUAUUAGGGAAGAACAUACGUGUAAGUAACUGUGCACGUCUUGACGGUACCUAAUCAGAAAGCCACGGCUAACUACGUG
RNAcentral lists this ribosomal RNA (497 nucleotides) under uncultured bacterium. RNAcentral's name for it is "partial 16S ribosomal RNA". It matches the Rfam family "Bacterial small subunit ribosomal RNA", at positions 28 to 507 of the family's 1533-position model. The record is from RNAcentral.